AGUGUAAUUGAUCUCCAUUACUAACCAGUUAGCGCAAGGCUCUAACGAGCCAUUCCCCUAGGCCCGAAACAGGAAUAGUAUCGGGCUAUUUUUU
Molecule: non-coding RNA, 94 nt
Organism: Photobacterium damselae subsp. piscicida DI21
Lineage: Bacteria; Pseudomonadati; Pseudomonadota; Gammaproteobacteria; Vibrionales; Vibrionaceae
Source: Rfam